Molecule: long non-coding RNA, 208 nt
Filed under: Solanum tuberosum (potato)
Lineage: Eukaryota; Viridiplantae; Streptophyta; Magnoliopsida; Solanales; Solanaceae
Description: long non-coding RNA (STUB_LNC001793)
Source: RNAcentral
AAUCCACUGAACAAUCUCUAUGUAAAACAUAAAAAGAUUUACCAUUAGAAUACCCAUAAUAGCAAAAGUCACAAAUUUAAGUACUGAACGUCAAACUAAAGCAUAGUAAACACAACUCUAGACAACCAUUACAAAUUCAAAGACAUGAAAAGCACUAAAAGUAGUCUACAAGAAAACAUUAAGCAUUUGAUUGGUGAUUUGCAUUGNN